UACGUAGGUGGCAAGCGUUGUCCGGAUUUACUGGGCGUAAAGAGCGCGCAGGCGGUCGAGUAAGUCGAAUGUGAAAGCCCCCGGCUUAACUGGGGAGGGUCAUUCGAUACUGUUCGACUUGAAGGCAGGAGAGGGCAGCAGAAUUCCCGGUGUAGUGGUGAAAUGCGUAGAUAUCUGGAGGAACACCGGUGGCGAAGGCGGCAUCCUGGACCGAUACUGACGCUGAGGAGCGAAAGCCAGGGGAGCAAACAGG
RNAcentral lists this ribosomal RNA (253 nucleotides) under uncultured bacterium. RNAcentral describes it as "partial 16S ribosomal RNA". It matches the Rfam family "Bacterial small subunit ribosomal RNA", at positions 524 to 776 of the family's 1533-position model. The record is from RNAcentral.